This 403-nucleotide ribosomal RNA is filed under the name uncultured soil bacterium. RNAcentral's name for it is "bacterial SSU rRNA". It matches the Rfam family "Bacterial small subunit ribosomal RNA", at positions 26 to 434 of the family's 1533-position model. The record is from RNAcentral.
AGGACGAACGCUGGCGGCGUGCUUAACACAUGCAAGUCGAGCGGUAAGGCCUUUCGGGGUACACGAGCGGCGAACGGGUGAGGAACACGUGGGUGAUCUGCCCUGCACUUCGGGAUAAGCCUGGGAAACUGGGUCUAAUACCGGAUAUGACCUCCUAUCGCAUGGUGGGUGGUGGAAAGAUUUAUCGGUGCAGGAUGGGCCCGCGGCCUAUCAGCUUGUUGGUGGGUAAUGGCCUACCGAAGGCGACGACGGGUAGCCGACCUGAGAGGGUGACCGGCCACACUGGGACUGGAGACACGGCCCAGACUCCUACGGGAGGCAGCAGUGGGAAUAUGCACAAUGGGACGAAGCCUGAUGCAGCGACGCCGCGUGAGGAUGGACGGCCUUCGGGUUGUAAACCGUC